CAAUAGCGUAUAUUAAAGCUGUUGCGGUUAAAAAGCUCGUAGUUGGAUUUCUGGUCGGAAGCUCCUGUCCUCUGAUGAGCGUACAAGUGCGUCCUACCAUCCUUCUGUUAACCUUUAAGGCUUUCGCGGCUUUCUAGGGGCUCAGAUAUUUUACCUUGAGAAAAUUAGAGUGUUUCAGGCAGGCUAGCGCCGGAAUACAUUAGCAUGGAAUAAUGGAAUAGGACUUUUGCCUCUUCUGUUGGUCAUGAGGCUCGAGUAAUGAUUAAUAGGGAUAGUUGGGGGCAUUAGUACUUAACUGUCAGAGGUGAAAUUCUCGGAUUUGUUAAAGACUAACUUAUGCGAAAGCAUUUGCCAAGGAUGUUUUCAUUAA
RNAcentral lists this ribosomal RNA (370 nucleotides) under uncultured eukaryote. RNAcentral describes it as "partial 18S ribosomal RNA". It matches the Rfam family "Eukaryotic small subunit ribosomal RNA", at positions 592 to 976 of the family's 1831-position model. The record is from RNAcentral.